Molecule: ribosomal RNA, 473 nt
Filed under: Erwinia sp. ZZCG2-1
Lineage: Bacteria; Pseudomonadati; Pseudomonadota; Gammaproteobacteria; Enterobacterales; Erwiniaceae
Description: bacterial SSU rRNA
Rfam family: Bacterial small subunit ribosomal RNA
Source: RNAcentral
AGCACAGAGAGCUUGCUCUUGGGUGACGAGUGGCGGACGGGUGAGUAAUGUCUGGGAAACUGCCCGAUAGAGGGGGAUAACUACUGGAAACGGUAGCUAAUACCGCAUAACCUCGUAAGAGCAAAGUGGGGGACCUUCGGGCCUCACGCUAUCGGAUGUGCCCAGAUGGGAUUAGCUAGUAGGUGGGGUAAUGGCUCACCUAGGCGACGAUCCCUAGCUGGUCUGAGAGGAUGACCAGCCACACUGGAACUGAGACACGGUCCAGACUCCUACGGGAGGCAGCAGUGGGGAAUAUUGCACAAUGGGCGCAAGCCUGAUGCAGCCAUGCCGCGUGUAUGAAGAAGGCCUUCGGGUUGUAAAGUACUUUCAGCGGGGAGGAAGGCGAUGAGGUUAAUAACCUCGGCGAUUGACGUUACCCGCAGAAGAAGCACCGGCUAACUCCGUGCCAGCCGCCGCGGUAAUACGUCGUGACU